CAUUGCUUAUAUCUGGAUUAGAAAGAGAGAGGGAGAAGAUCAGUAUCACGACGACUGUGAGUACAUUGGAUUGCUUAUAUCGUUGUUUAUAUCUGGAUGAGAAAGAGAGCGGGAGAAGAUCAGUAUCACGAAGACUGUGAGUACAUUGGAUUGUUUACAUAUCAUUGCUCAUACUUGGAUAUGGAUAACUAAUAUCUGCUGGAGUGAUUAACAGCUUGUUGAGUGGCCCCAUCGUGGAGGACGAGACGAGUGGGUGAGCCGAAGUAGAGUGGGGGUGAAUGGAUGUUAUUUGGCUGUGGCCACACCGUAAAGUUUGGAGCACUUACCGUGCCAGCGACUGUAAACUCCUCCAGGACGAAAUCCGACCGGGCGUGGAGUACCGACCUUAAAAGUCACUGAAGUGUGUGUAGUGCAGUGGGUGAGUCUGUCUUUGACGUGUGUACACCGAAGUUUUGCAGUGCUGUGCCGUGUCCCUGUUGUCUGUACUCGCCCUCCAGGCCGAGAAAAGUUCCUGUUGGAGAGAACGUAGGCUGCCGUGGCGAUGCCCACCUAUCCCACCUACGCCCGCCUAUAACUCCGUUCCCCGUACCUAGCCUGAAGGAGGUGAAGCGUGAAUGCAAAACAAGGUAUUGUGUGGAUAUUGUGGGGAAAGCUAAAAGUUAUUGAUCUUGAAUACGCCCUGUAAGCCCAGCGUGAAGAUACAGUCACUUUGUUGAAUACUUACCUGUCUGUACGUGCUAAAAGCUAUUGACCUUGAAUACGCUCUGUAAGCCCAGCGUGAAGAUAGUCACUUUGUUGAAUACAUACCUGUCUGCACGAGCUAAAAGCUAUUGACCUUGAAUACGCCCUGUAAGCCCAGCGUGAAGAGUCAGUCAUCUUGCUCAAUACCUAUCUGUGCUACGAGUAAAAAGUUACUCGCUUCGAAUACACCGGUGUACAUCCAGGGGAAUGACUUAGUUACCUUGCUACAUCCUUACCUCUGUUACUUACCUGUGCCCUCAGGGACUUGUGUGUUACCUUGUACUUACCUAGGAGGUCUAUGGGAGUGGAGGAGCUGUCCAGACGCUGGAGAAGAGAAGGGCGCCACGGGAAAUCAAGCCGCUAAGGAAGGACUUAGGAUCAGUCAGGAGAUUGGUGGGAGUUCUGUGAAAGGACGAAAGAGCCCUUUGCCCCCCGUGAUAACUUACCAACGACCUCCAGAUUUCUCAGGCCCAGUCCCCUCCUGUCAAGAGACGAAAAUCCAAAUUUUAGAUUCCCCUUUCUCCUUUCCUAAAUUAUCUUUUUAAAUAAUUUAAAUAAAGUUGUUUUAAAUUAUCCUUAUCUCAUCUUGUGUGUCUGGUCAUUGGGGUGUUCUUGGGACCUCCUCGAGGUGGAAGCUAGGAAGGGGCGUGACUCGCAACACCUGUGGUCCGCUCCGACCUGUGACACAUACAUGAAUUUCCAACUGUGUUGUUGUCAAUGGAUUGGCACUUGGCAGUUUUGACAGUAAACAGAAAUGUUUAUUUUUAUUUAGCCUGACACUAUCCCCACGAUGUGUUUGUAAUCUUCCAUUUUGCAGCAUUAUAUAAGCAAGGUGAUUGUCAGCAUUGUGGUUGGUGUCUGUGCACAGCUGCAAGGAAUACUUCAAUAUGUACACUGUUUUCAUUAUAUGUUUAAAGUUAUUGUUUUUUAUUAUUUAAUAAUGUGGUUUCACUUUAUUUGAUGGUCCCUUUUGAAAUUUCUGUUGACUAGUAACGUUGCACCUACAUACCGGCUCUCAUUAGAGUGUUAGAAUAAGUUACUUGUAGUCAGUAAAACAUCUUUUGGGAAACCAUCAUAAUAAAGAGUUAGAAAUUAAGCAGACACACUGUAAACCCUAAUGUUGUCUUUACUUAAACAAUCAAGUAAUGUUGACUAAACAUUACUUAAAAUUGUGCAUUUUGGCCCUGUCACUCAAAAAUAUGAGUUAAUUUAACUUAUUUUCCUUCAAAAUGCAUAAACUUAAUAUUUCAAGUCUUGUGAACUCAAAAUCAUGAUUAAUCCUUUGGAAAAACUCAACAUCACUCUGUUCUUCCUUUAAUGUGAUUGGCCAUGCAAGGAAUUCUGCCUAGCAACAAGUGAACAAAAGCACUGAUUGGUGGAUUACAAAAUUGGUCCUUUUAGCCUCGUCUGUUCGGUAGGCAGCUGAUACCACAUUGAUUUCAAGACGGACGUUUUUCUUCGUGUACUAUGUUCGGUAAGUAAAAUUAUGUAGAUAUUAAGUUAUUUUGUUUGAUAUCUACUAGUGAAAUAUGUUAUUUUAAAUCCUUGUGGUACGUUUCGAUAAUAAAAGUAAACGCAGCCAUAAUUACAAUAUUUCCCAGACAAACUUUGCCAGCGUAGCCAUCAAGUAACGUAACACACACACACACACAUUUUGCCAACCUUGCCAUUAAUUAACAAUAUUUUCUAAGAUUUGGUGAUGGUAUGAUUAUUGAAAGGACAACUUAUUUCUUAUUUUACCAGUGAGGUAUACGUAUUUGAUGAAGUGGCCUAACAUUAAUGGUUUUCUUUUGAGAGAAAAAAACAUGGCAGUUAGACCAUGCGGGUUAGUUUUUCCCGGGCAAACUUUAUCAGUGUCGUUAUUAAUUAACAAUAUUUUCAGGAUAAUGUUCUCAAGGUAUCAUUGAGAAGUCGAUUUUUUUUUUUUUCAUAUUUUGACUUGUAAAGCGUAUUUGUAUAAAGUAUGAAUUGUAGGUUAACCUUGCUACUAUAGCUGAGACGAAUUAGGCUAGUGAUGUUUCAUAGAUGAAAUUACAGGCCAUCUUCACACUGGUCACCAGUAACGUAAUUAACGUUAGCUACAAAGUGAUUUAACUUUUUUUCAACUUUUUCUGUUACAGGUGACAUGAGAUAAGGAGAUGUGGAAAUGUAAGUAUUUCAUUUUUGACUCUGCAAAAAAAAAAAAAAAAAAAAUAUAUAUAUAUAUAUAUAUAUAUAUAUAUAUAUAUAUAUAUAUAUAUAUAUAUAUAUAUGUAAGAAAUAAAAUCAUGUGGUUUUACAACAAUUUGAGCAUGAGUAAAUGAAAAAAAAAUUUUUAGUGGUCUAACGUAUUCCUUUAACAUGAUAAAACAGCAGUAUUUCUUAGCCUCUUCAUUAUUUCCUAAUCAUUUCUUAGCCUGUAAAGCAUUUCUGUGUAAAAGAUUAUGUGACCUAGCCUUAUCUCCUCCAGGUUUGCAUGGAGUUCACCAGAAUUACAGACAAAAAUCUACAGCAGGAAUUCUAUGAAAACCUGGACAGACAGUUCACGGUUCAUGGACCUUUUUAAAACCAGAAGGGGGACUCCUGGUCAGCACUUGAAGUUUUUACAGAAAAUAGAGUUCAGUAAUUAUUUGUCUUAUUUAACAUAACUUAAAGGUACUGUAUAGUUCACCCUAAAAUGGAAAUUCUGUCACCAUUUACUCACCCACAAGUUGUUCCAAACCUGUAUAAAUUUCUUUGUUCUGCUGAACACAAAAGAAGAUAUUUUAAAGGAAUGUUUGUAACCGAACAAUUUUGGGGCACCAUUGACUUCCUUAGUAUUUCUUUUUAGUAUGUACAUGUCAGUGGUGCCCCAAAACUGCUUUGCUAUAAACAUUGUUCAGAAUAUCUUCCUUUGUGUUCAGCUGAGCAAAGAAAUUUAUACAGGUUUGGAACAACUUUAGGGUGAGUAAAUGAUAACAGAAUUUUCUAUUAUCCCUUUUAACUACCCUUUUUAAAAGUAUUUCAUUUUGUCAACAUGUAAUUUAUUUUAAUCUGUUUACUAUUUAAAGUAAUCUGUUAAGUAUGAUAGAUAAUCUUAAUUUAAUUAUCAUAACAAUGUUUAAAAUAGAUUGGCAUUAAUAGAAUUUCAUGUUUUCCUCUAAAGUCAGACCAGCCAACUGAGGUCCGAACCCUUGUUCUUCAAGGACUGACUAUCAUGCUGGGAAAUGAAGACUCUUCUUUCUUCAAGUCAUGUUUAGUAAGUACAUCUGUUUUAAAAAGGGAUAGUUCACCCAAAAAUGAUUACCCCAUGGUUUACUGACCCUCAAGCCAUCCAAUCAGAGUUAUAAUAAAAUUUAUCCUACCUCUUCCAAGCUUUAUAAUGGGAGUGAAUGGGGGAUGAGAUUUUGAAGCUGCUUUCAAGCAGUUCUCAAGCAUGUUCAUUCAGCGGCUUCAUUUCUAUUCGACAGCUUUCAGCCUCAACUACGUUAAUAAAUCAUUAGCUCAUCCAUGAACAUGAUUGCAUAUUGUACCUCUAAGGUACAUCAUACGUCACAUCACUUGU
Long non-coding RNA from Cyprinus carpio carpio, 4264 nucleotides. NCBI's taxonomy places the organism in Eukaryota, Metazoa, Chordata, Actinopteri, Cypriniformes, Cyprinidae. The record is from Ensembl.